Molecule: non-coding RNA, 23 nt
Filed under: Cricetulus griseus (Chinese hamster)
Lineage: Eukaryota; Metazoa; Chordata; Mammalia; Rodentia; Cricetidae
Source: RNAcentral
UUCAAAUAAAUGGCUUGUAUAGA